AGAGUUUGAUCCUGGCUCAGGACGAACGCUGGCGGCGUGCUUAACACAUGCAAGUCGAACGAUGAACCACUUCGGUGGGGAUUAGUGGCGAACGGGUGAGUAACACGUGGGCAAUCUGCCCUGCACUCUGGGACAAGCCCUGGAAACGGGGUCUAAUACCGGAUACUGAUCCUCGCAGGCAUCUGCGAGGUUCGAAAGCUCCGGCGGUGCAGGAUGAGCCCGCGGCCUAUCAGCUAGUUGGUGAGGUAACGGCUCACCAAGGCGACGACGGGUAGCCGGCCUGAGAGGGCGACCGGCCACACUGGGACUGAGACACGGCCCAGACUCCUACGGGAGGCAGCAGUGGGGAAUAUUGCACGAUGGGCGAAAGCCUGAUGCAGCGACGCCGCGUGAGGGAUGACGGCCUUCGGGUUGUAAACCUCUUUCAGCAGGGAAGAAGCGAAAGUGACGGUACCUGCAGAAGAAGCGCCGGCUAACUACGUGCCAGCAGCCGCGGUAAUACGUAGGGCGCAAGCGUUGUCCGGAAUUAUUGGGCGUAAAGAGCUCGUAGGCGGCUUGUCACGUCGGUUGUGAAAGCCCGGGGCUUAACCCCGGGUCUGCAGUCGAUACGGGCAGGCUAGAGUUCGGUAGGGGAGAUCGGAAUUCCUGGUGUAGCGGUGAAAUGCGCAGAUAUCAGGAGGAACACCGGUGGCGAAGGCGGAUCUCUGGGCCGAUACUGACGCUGAGGAGCGAAAGCGUGGGGAGCGAACAGGAUUAGAUACCCUGGUAGUCCACGCCGUAAACGGUGGGCACUAGGUGUGGGCAACAUUCCACGUUGUCCGUGCCGCAGCUAACGCAUUAAGUGCCCCGCCUGGGGAGUACGGGCCGCAAGGCUAAAACUCAAAUGAAUUGACGG
Molecule: ribosomal RNA, 895 nt
Filed under: uncultured bacterium
Lineage: Bacteria
Description: bacterial SSU rRNA
Rfam family: Bacterial small subunit ribosomal RNA
Source: RNAcentral